RNAcentral lists this long non-coding RNA (270 nucleotides) under Manihot esculenta (cassava). Its description in RNAcentral is "long non-coding RNA (MESC_LNC009045)". The record is from RNAcentral. Lineage: Eukaryota; Viridiplantae; Streptophyta; Magnoliopsida; Malpighiales; Euphorbiaceae.
CCUAAACAUGCAUACCAUGCAACCCAUGCAUAAAAACCCUCUUAACCCUUCAUAAAACUCAUUGAAAACCUCUCCAAAGCUAAGGAUCUACACUUACCUCUUGAAGAACAAGAGUUGGUGCGACCUCAAACGUGAAGAUAUGGAGAAUCCAAGCUCCAAAGUCUUCAAACUUCAAAAUCUUGCUCAAAGCUCACAACUCUUCAAAACAAGGAGAAAACUCAUGAAAACCUUGAAAGAUUUGAAGAAACAUCAUGAAAAUAACCAAAGGAG